This 375-nucleotide ribosomal RNA is filed under the name Pasteurella multocida subsp. multocida. Its description in RNAcentral is "bacterial SSU rRNA". It matches the Rfam family "Bacterial small subunit ribosomal RNA", at positions 30 to 397 of the family's 1533-position model. Lineage: Bacteria; Pseudomonadati; Pseudomonadota; Gammaproteobacteria; Pasteurellales; Pasteurellaceae. The record is from RNAcentral.
AUUGAACGCUGGCGGCAGGCUUAACACAUGCAAGUCGAACGGUAGCAGGAAGAAAGCUUGCUUUCUUUGCUGACGAGUGGCGGACGGGGGAGUAAUGCUUGGGAAUCUGGCUUAUGGAGGGGGAUAACUGUGGGAAACUGCAGCUAAUACCGCGUAUUCUCUGAGGAGGAAAGGGUGGGACCUUAGGGCCCCCUGCCAUAAGAUGAGCCCAAGUGGGAUUAGGUAGUUGGUGGGGUAAAGGCCUACCAAGCCUGCGAUCUCUAGCUGGUCUGAGAGGGUGACCAGCCACACUGGAACUGAGACACGGUCCAGACUCCUACGGGAGGCAGCAGUGGGGAAUAUUGCGCAAUGGGGGGAACCCUGACGCAGCCAUGC